ACCGGCUUCAUUGCAUUCCUGCCACGAGCUGUUAUCUGCAUCUGCAAAGGCUGGACGAUCAGCCAGAGCUCCACGUGCAGUCACAUCCUGCCUCGCUCUGCCCUUCUCUCACUGCACCGAGGUGUGGUGUUACACCAGAAACUCACAUUCACAGAAACGCAGCGCUGGCCGAUUCCUAGAAGCAGCAGUCACAUCUCACGCUACAGCAGAAUUUCUUAUUCAGGGGCAGGAAGGAGUCAUCGAGUUCAGAAGCAUUGCUCUCAGCAGGAGAUGUUGGCUUGCAGCUUGGUACAGCCACAGAUUAGCAAGAGAUAUGGGAGAGAUUGCGAUGGCUUUCCACCAAAGGAGCACAGAAAAUGCAUGGGAGCUCCUCACGUGGGACGCUGACAGCCUGAAGGCAGCAGGGCAUGGCCCUGCAAGGCAGCAACCCCAAAGCAGGCACGGCUUUGCCCUCCCCCACUUCCCAACGUAAUCAUAAAGAGUCAUUGUCCUGCAGCAG
RNAcentral lists this long non-coding RNA (499 nucleotides) under Gallus gallus (chicken). RNAcentral's name for it is "long non-coding RNA NONGGAT001821". The record is from RNAcentral. Lineage: Eukaryota; Metazoa; Chordata; Aves; Galliformes; Phasianidae.